Molecule: long non-coding RNA, 215 nt
Filed under: Vitis vinifera (wine grape)
Lineage: Eukaryota; Viridiplantae; Streptophyta; Magnoliopsida; Vitales; Vitaceae
Description: long non-coding RNA (VVIN_LNC000491)
Source: RNAcentral
AGAACUCAAGGCUUUAGAUGCUAUGAACAACUUAAGUCUAUGAAUGACAUGAACAACUUCUUGUCAUGAGCUUAGGGGUCUAGAUGCUAUAAAUAGCCCAGGGUUCUAGAUGUUAUGAACUGCUCAGGGCAGUGGAUGACAUGAACGAUUCCAGGUCAUGAACUAAAGGCUCUAGAUGCUAUGAAUAGCUUAGUGUUGUGGAUGACAUGAAGGAC